This 547-nucleotide long non-coding RNA is filed under the name Homo sapiens (human). RNAcentral describes it as "non-protein coding lnc-GOLGA6L6-4:1". Lineage: Eukaryota; Metazoa; Chordata; Mammalia; Primates; Hominidae. The record is from RNAcentral.
AUUCAUUCCUACUAUAACGUGUGGCUUCAGGCCCAGCUGGGGUGGAAGAGCUUUCUUCUCCACAGGGAUGCUGUGAAUAAGAUUAAAUCGUUACCCAUUGCUACGAAAGAGCAGCUUGAGAAACACAAUGAUAUUUGUGCCAUCUGUUAUCAGGUAACUCCUUCGAUAAGAAUCUGUUUGGGACAUGAAAUCUGCUGUGAUCACGCCUUGCGUUCAUUUUUUCCAUGCAGGCUGUCUUAAGAAAUGGCUGUAUGUCCAGGAGACCUGCCCUCUGUGCCACUACCACCUGAAAAACUCCUCCCAGCUUCCAGGAUUAGGAACUGAGCCAGUUCUACAGCCUCAUGCUGGAGCUGAGCAAAACAUCAUGUUUCAGGAAGGAACUGAACCCCCAGGCCAAGAGCAUACUCCAGGGACCAGGAUACAGGAAGGUUCUAGGGACAAUAAUGAGCGCAUCGCCAGACAACCAGAUAGCCAGGAAGGGGCUUUUGACCCCAAAGAAUAUCUUCACAGUGCAAAAGAUGAAGCACAUCCUGUUGAAUCAGCCUAG